AGAUGAUUCAAUUGUUGAUUUGUUAAUUCUGUAUGGGGUUAGGGUCACAAUGGAAUGUUAGGUGAAUGAAAUGUUUUGUAUUUUGUAACCUUUUUGUUGAGGAUUGGAUUAAUUGUGUGGAUGAGAAAAUACAGUUCUUUACAAACUAUGGCAUUGAAGUUGUGAUUAUUGUUAUGCUUCUUGCUAACUUUUUAUGUUUUUGCUGAUAAACAUGGCCUUAGCGUUCGUGGAAUAAGGGAUGAUCGGUGAAAGAAGCGGCGAAGGCUUCCUGUAGCUGGAGAUGGAAAGCGAAUUUGAUCUCCUCGGAUUUGGGAAGCCAUUAUUGAGUAUCUUCUACCUAAAGGUUUAGGAAAAACAUACAAGGCUUUGCUUUCUGGCUGCUCAGAGAGUUUGGUAUUGGAAUUGUACCAUAUAGUCCUCUUGGUCAUAGUUUUUUCGGUGACAAAGGAGUUCCGAAAAAUGUACCUGCAGUUAGCACCUUGGUUGUUUAUAAUGGAAAUGCGCUUGCAUCAAUAGUUAAACAGAAGAAGAAAUGCAAAACUGGUAUGUUUACUAUCAUAACAAAUAUUAAAGAAACCCUUCAAAGAGACCAACUACUCGGAUAGCUUUCUCUUCGUGGUUGCUUUGGGAACUACAAUAUCAUAUGUUUAUUCUAUUUGUGCUCUUCUGUAUAUUGCUCUUACUGGAUUUUUGUCUACAACAUACUUUGAAACCAAUUUUGUGCUUAUAACAUGUGUAUUGAUGGGCAAGUAUUUUGAUCUCCUGUUUUCUCUCUAUCAUAAUAGAUUUUAUGUACUGAUAACAUUUUGAUUUAUUCUAUUGAUCAUAUUUUCUCAUAGGAAACUAGAUAUAGGUUACGCCAUUCGGAUUUGAUGAUUAAUUUAAAGGUUCAAGAAAUAUUCGAGAUUAUGUCUAAAAUCAUUUUCUACAUUAGGUUCUUCUUGGACAAGCUUGAUUUCUUAGAGGUUUGUUCCCUGCCUUGAAUAUUCUCAUGACCAAAUUGUUUGAUUUCAUUAAAGACAUUAAUAGGCGUCAAUAAUAAUAGAAGAUUGUGGUAAGUGCUCACCAGAAAGAAGUAAGUUACUAUGAUUUUCAAUAUUUUUUACUUAAUAUUUUUACAUUUUUUAUUUCUAUCUGUGAUUUGUAUUUUAAUUGUUCAAACUUUGACGAAUUUAUGCUUUGAUACAGAUUUUACAAACAUGCAUCUAUUUACUUUGAUGUAGAUUUUCAAAUUUCACUUACUGUCAGGAAAUAGGAACUGUCAAGACUAGAUGUCAAGUUAGGAAAUAGGAAUAUUGUCUUUGGUUGAUAGACAAUAUAAGCACAUGCUAUUUAGAUACCAGAUCUUCCUCAGCUUAUAGCAAAGGUGUUGCAAUUGAUGAAUGAGAUGGGGUAACUUCACAGCUUCCAAAUAAAUCUUGAACUACUCUUUGGUUUUGCCUUUGAACUCCUCAACGUAACAACGACAAAUUGGAACAACCACUCUCAUGAACUAAAUCGAUCACAACCUUCAUCAGAUCCAAUGAUUUGUAGCUCCAAAACCGUGAAGACGCUUCAAUUGUGAGCACACCACAACUUCCAAACCAAAACUGUGGAUCUCUGUCAAACUACAACAUAAACACCGAUUUGCAGCUAUGACACGGCAGCUCUACUUUUGGUAAUAAAUUUGGUUCAGAUUUACCUAUUUUUUGUGGUGUUAGUAUUGUUAGUGUGAUAUUUGGUUUUGAGUAUUUUGUUUACUAUUCAUCUUGCUGGAUUUUUUAUUUUUUCUUGAGUUGAUUUUUCUUUUGUAAUAAUAAUAAAGGUACGAGUGUUGCGUAAACAGUUGUUUGAAAUUUGGCUGGUAAUUCGAAUGAGCCAAUUUUGUGGGGCAUUUGCUUUUAUAAUUUUCACAAGAGUUUUAUUUGAUUUGUUUAUGAAAACUACCUUCUCAUGGAUUAAUGGUGAGAAUGUUGUUCUGUUUGUAAAAGAAACUCUAAAAUGAGAGAAAGAAGCAUUACUGUUC
Vicia villosa (hairy vetch) is the source of this 2005-nucleotide long non-coding RNA. RefSeq lists it as uncharacterized. Lineage: Eukaryota; Viridiplantae; Streptophyta; Magnoliopsida; Fabales; Fabaceae. The record is from RefSeq and is a predicted model, not a curated record. The transcript is spliced from 4 exons.